UGAAUACGAGACGCUAAGGCGUCGAAGUAGUGUAUGUCAUACUUCCAAGAAAAGCUUGCACUGUCAUAGAUAAAAAACGCCUGUACCAUAACCGACACAGGUGGGUAGGUAGAGUAUACUAAGGGGCGCGAGAUAACUCUCUCUAAGGAACUCGGCUAAAUAACUCCGUAACUUCGGGAGAAGGAGUGCCUUAUUCGUAAGGUUGCAAUAACAAGAUCCAAGCAACUGUUUAUCAAAAACACAGGUCUCCGCUAAGCCGUAAGACGAUGUAUGGGGGCUGACGCCUGCCCAGUGCCAGAAGGUUAAAGAAGUUGGUUAGCAAUUGCGAAGCUGAUAACUGAAGCCCUGGUGAACGGCGGCCGUAACGAUAACGGUCCUAAGGUAGCGAAAUUCCUUGUCGGGUAAGUUCCGACCCGCACGAAAGGCGUAAUGAUUUGGAUACUGUCUCGGAGAGGGGCUCGGUGAAAUAGACUUGUCUGUGAAGAUGCGGACUACCUGCACCAGGACAGAAAGACCCUAUGAAGCUUUACUGUAACUUGAAAUUGAAAUUGGACUUUAUUCGCGCAGCAUAGGUGGGAGGCGUUGAUUAUAAUCUUGCGGGAUUAUUGGAGCCAUCAGUGAGAUACCACUCUUGUAAUGUUAGAUUUCUAACUUUGAAUCAUUAUCUGGUCAAAGAACAGUUUCAGGCGGGCAGUUUGACUGGGGCGGUCGCCUCCUAAACGGUAACGGAGGCGUACAAAGGUUUCCUCUGACGGUUAGAAAUCGUAUCUAGAGUGUAAAGGCAUAAGGAAGCUUGACUGUGAGACCUACAAGUCGAGCAGGGACGAAAGUCGGUCUUAGUGAUCUGACGGUACUGAGUGGAAAGGCCGUCACUCAACGGAUAAAAGUUACUCUAGGAUAACAGGCUGAUCUCCCCCAAGAGUUCACAUCGACGGGGAGGUUUGGCACCUCGAUGUCGGCUCAUCGCAUCCUGGGGCGGUAGUACGUCCCAAGGGUUGGGCUGUUCGCCCAUGAAAGCGGUACGCGAGCUGGGUUCAGAACGUCGUGAGACAGUUCGGUCCAUAUCCGGUGUAGGCGUUAGAAUAUUGAGAGGAGCCUUCUUUAGUACGAGAGGACCGAGAAGGACAUACCUCUGGUGUACCAGUUAUCGUGCCAACGGUAAACGCUGGGUAGCUAUGUAUGAAGUGGAUAACCGCUGAAAGCAUCUAAGUGGGAAGCCCACCUCAAGAUAAGUAUUCUCACC
Molecule: ribosomal RNA, 1243 nt
Filed under: metagenome
Description: bacterial LSU rRNA
Rfam family: Bacterial large subunit ribosomal RNA
Source: RNAcentral